CCUACGGUGUGCUGCAGUGAGGAAUAUUGGUCAAUGGACGAGAGUCUGAACCAGCCAUGCAGCGUGAAGGAUGACUGCCCUAUGGGUUGUAAACUUCUUUUAUAUGAGGAUAAACCAGAGUAUGCGUACUCACUUGUAUGUACUGUAUGAAUAAGGAUCGGCUAACUCCGUGCCAGCAGCCGCGGUAAUACGGAGGAUCCGAGCGUUAUCCGGAUUUAUUGGGUUUAAAGGGAGCGUAGUCGGAUUGAUAAGUUAGUUGUGAAAGGUUGCGGCUCAACCGUAGAACUGCAGCUGAGACUGGUGGUCUUGAGAAUAGAUGAGGUAGGCGGAAUGCAUGGUGUAGCGGUGAAAUGCUUAGAUAUCACGCAGAACUCCGAUUGCGAAGGCAGCUUACUGGACUACAACUGACGUUGAGGCUCGAAAGUGUGGGUAUCAAACAGGAUUAGAUACCCGAGUAGUC
RNAcentral lists this ribosomal RNA (460 nucleotides) under uncultured bacterium. RNAcentral describes it as "partial 16S ribosomal RNA". It matches the Rfam family "Bacterial small subunit ribosomal RNA", at positions 338 to 795 of the family's 1533-position model. The record is from RNAcentral.